RNAcentral lists this non-coding RNA (30 nucleotides) under Rattus norvegicus (Norway rat). Lineage: Eukaryota; Metazoa; Chordata; Mammalia; Rodentia; Muridae. The record is from RNAcentral.
ACCUGGGUAAUUUUUCUCUGCAGGGAUGUC